AAAGCACUGAACUCGAGCACUACAUGGAGAACUUGAAGCAUGAAACAGCUAAUAUGGCGAAGAAGAUAGAGAUCCUCGAAAUUUCUAAACGGAAGCUAAUGGGGCAAGGAUUAGGGUCAUGUUCAAUGGAUGAACUAGAAGACAUUGACAGCCAACUGGAGAGGACCCUCAAAAUUAUCAGGGCUAGAAAGACUCAAUUGUUCAAAGAGGAAAUAGAAAGUCUAAAAGCAAAGGAGAGACUAUUGCUCCAACAAAAUGCAAGUUUACGUGAAAAGUGCGGGCUUAGGCCAAUGCUAUCAGAGUCAGCAUCUGCACCCGAACCCAUACCAGCACCACCAUCAACACCACCAGCUCAAUCAAAAGAAAGGGGAAAUUGUAGCCAAAGUACAAAGAGUUGGGAAGUGGAGACUGAAUUGUUUAUUGGCCUUCCUCAAACGCGCUGCUUAUAGUAGCUUGGAUCAGUGGUUGAGCUAGGGUUUUUUUUGGUCAAAGGAAUUUAAACCUCGAAGAAGUACACAGAGAAGGCAAAAUGGGU
This 535-nucleotide unclassified non-coding RNA is filed under the name Hevea brasiliensis (rubber tree). Lineage: Eukaryota; Viridiplantae; Streptophyta; Magnoliopsida; Malpighiales; Euphorbiaceae. The record is from RNAcentral.